Molecule: long non-coding RNA, 521 nt
Organism: Peromyscus maniculatus bairdii (prairie deer mouse)
Lineage: Eukaryota; Metazoa; Chordata; Mammalia; Rodentia; Cricetidae
Source: RefSeq, a predicted model, not a curated record
GUUAGUUCAGACUUCAUGGAACUCCUGGUUCCUUGUCCGGGCUGAGUCACACCUGGCCUGGAGUGUACCUGUCUGGACAAGUUCCUUCCCACCAACUGCGGCUUGGGACCAAGAUGGAGGCCUAGCUCCCCCUGCUGGGGACCACAGGGAAUCCUGUCCAUCCUCCCAAAGGCAGGCCUCAUCUCUCUGUUGUGUAAAAGAGUUCCUCGUGAAUCUUUGGACUCACCUCAAGCUCCACCCAGAGGCCAAUCUGACAUCCAGGGAACCCCCUGAGAUACAACACAGUGAUUACAGGACAAGGGUUUGGAGCCAUGUCGACUGGGACCUGGAACCAGCUCAGCAAGCCCGUGUUACUUCGGGCAGCCUGUUCACCCUCUUGACCUCUGUCCUUGUGCCCUGGAGCUGUAUGGAAAUGGACCGCAGCAGGCAGUGAUGUGGGGGAAUGGGGGCACGUGCCAAAGGCCAGGGAUGAUAAAGGAUAAACACAGUAUAUGUUGCUGGAGUCUUAAUUUUAUCAGCAA